GACGAACGCUGGCGGCGUGCUUAACACAUGCAAGUCGAACGGAAAGGCACUGCUUUUGUGGGGUGCUCGAGUGGCGAACGGGUGAGGAACACGUGAGUAACCUGCCCUUGUCUUUGGGAUAACUUCAGGUAACUGGGGCUAAUCUAGGAUAGGAGCUCCUGCUGCGUGGAGGGGGUUGGAAAGUUUCGGCGGGUGGGGAUGGACUCGCGGCUUAUGAGCUUGUUGGUGGGGGAGUGGAUUACCCAGGGUUUGACGGGUAGCCGGCCUGAGAGGGUGACCGGCGACAUGGGGACUGAGAUACGCCCCAGAGUGCUACGGGAGGCAGCAGGGGGGAAUCUGGCACAAUGGGCGGACGCGUGAUGCAGCAACGCCGCGGGCGGGAUGACGGCCUUCGGGUAGUAAACAGCUUUAGCCUGUGACGAAGCGGGAGUGACGGUAAUGGGUAAAGAAGCACCGGCUAACUACGUG
RNAcentral lists this ribosomal RNA (468 nucleotides) under uncultured bacterium. RNAcentral's name for it is "partial 16S ribosomal RNA". It matches the Rfam family "Bacterial small subunit ribosomal RNA", at positions 28 to 507 of the family's 1533-position model. The record is from RNAcentral.